Molecule: ribosomal RNA, 484 nt
Filed under: uncultured bacterium
Lineage: Bacteria
Description: partial 16S ribosomal RNA
Rfam family: Bacterial small subunit ribosomal RNA
Source: RNAcentral
AUUGAACGCUGGCGGCAUGCUUCACACAUGCCAGUCGAACGGCAGCGCCGGCUUCGGCCUGGCGGCGAUUGGCGAACGGUUGAGUAAUGCCUCGGAACGUGCCCAGUAGUGGGGGAUAGCCCGGCGAAAGCCGGAUUAAUACCCCAUACGACCUGUGGUUGACAGCGGGGGGCCGAAAGGCCUCUCGCUUUUUUAGCGGCCUAUGUCGGUUUAGCUAGUUGGUGGGGUAACGGCUUAACAAGGCGACGAUCCGUAGCUGGUCUGAGAGGACGACCAGCCAGACUGGGAGUGAGACACGGCCCAGACUCCUACGGGAGGCAGCAGUGGGGAAUUUUGGACAAUGGGGGCAAGGCUGAUACAGCAAUGCCGCGUGAGGGAAGAAGGACUUCGGGUUGUAAACCGCUGUUGUUCGGGAAGAAAUCAUGUGGGCUAAUACCCCGGGGGGAUGACGGUACCGGAAGAAUAAGCACCGGCUAACUACGUG